RNAcentral lists this ribosomal RNA (84 nucleotides) under Vibrio parahaemolyticus. Lineage: Bacteria; Pseudomonadati; Pseudomonadota; Gammaproteobacteria; Vibrionales; Vibrionaceae. The record is from RNAcentral.
CUUGGCGACCAUAGCGUUUUGGACCCACCUGAYYCCAUUCCGAACUCAGAAGUGAAACGAAAUAGCGCCGAUGGUAGUGUGGGG